CCUACGGGAGGCAGCAGUAGGGAAUCUUCGUCAAUGGGCGAAAGCCUGAAGCAGCAACGCCGCGUGAGUGAAGAAGGUCUUCGGAUUGUAAAACUCUGUUGUUAGAGAAGUAAAUGCGUGAGAGUGAGGGUUUACGUUUGGACGAUAUCUAACCAGAAAGCCACGGCUAACUACGUGCCAGCAGCCGCUGUAAAACGUAGGUGGGGAGCGUUUUCCUGAUUUAUUGGGCGUAAAGGGAGUGUAGGCGGUUUUUCAAGUCUGUUGUGAAAGCGUUGGGCUUAACCGGUGAAGUGCAUUUGAAACUGGCAGUCUUGAGUGCAGUAGAGGUGGGUGGAACUCGAGGUGUAGCGGUGAAAUGCGUAGAUAUAGGGAAGAACACCAGUGGCGAAGGCGGCUCACUGGACUGUAACUGACGCUGAGGUUCGAAAGCGUGGGUAGCAAACAGGAUUAGAUACCCCAGUAGUC
RNAcentral lists this ribosomal RNA (465 nucleotides) under uncultured bacterium. RNAcentral describes it as "partial 16S ribosomal RNA". It matches the Rfam family "Bacterial small subunit ribosomal RNA", at positions 338 to 795 of the family's 1533-position model. The record is from RNAcentral.